This 230-nucleotide unclassified non-coding RNA is filed under the name plant metagenome. RNAcentral describes it as "partial contains small subunit ribosomal RNA and internal transcribed spacer 1". The stretch from base 1 to 46 matches the Rfam family "Eukaryotic small subunit ribosomal RNA", at positions 1786 to 1831 of the family's 1831-position model. The record is from RNAcentral.
AAGUCGUAACAAGGUUUCCGUAGGUGAACCUGCGGAAGGAUCAUUAAGGGGUAGUUUUUGAGGGGUCUCUGUCCCCGGUCCUCCCAUCCGUGAUUACAUUAGGCCCUGAUCUACCUUGGCGGGCCCGCCGGGAACGGCCCGCGCGGCCCAGAUGGCGUCCCGGCUGGGAAGACGCAACAAAGCCCUAUUUUCAACGUGUCGUCUGAGCAAAUUGACAAACAAGUCAAAAC